Molecule: ribosomal RNA, 550 nt
Filed under: uncultured bacterium
Lineage: Bacteria
Description: bacterial SSU rRNA
Rfam family: Bacterial small subunit ribosomal RNA
Source: RNAcentral
UAGGGAAUCUUCGGCAAUGGACGGAAGUCUGACCGAGCAACGCCGCGUGAGUGAAGAAGGUUUUCGGAUCGUAAAGCUCUGUUGUAAGAGAAGAACGAGUGUGAGAGUGGAAAGUUCACACUGUGACGGUAUCUUACCAGAAAGGGACGGCUAACUACGUGCCAGCAGCCGCGGUAAUACGUAGGUCCCGAGCGUUGUCCGGAUUUAUUGGGCGUAAAGCGAGCGCAGGCGGUUAGAUAAGUCUGAAGUUAAAGGCUGUGGCUUAACCAUAGUACGCUUUGGAAACUGUUUAACUUGAGUGCAAGAGGGGGGAGUGGAAUUCCAUGUGUAGCGGUGAAAUGCGUAGAUAUAUGGAGGAACACCGGUGGCGAAAGCGGCUCUCUGGCUUGUAACUGACGCUGAGGCUCGAAAGCGUGGGGAGCAAACAGGAUUAGAUACCCUGGUAGUCCACGCUGUAAACGAUGAGUGCUAGGUGUUAGACCCUUUCCGGGGUUUAGUGCCGCAGCUAACGCAUUAAGCACUCCGCCUGGGGAGUACGACCGCAAGGUUG